This 340-nucleotide unclassified non-coding RNA is filed under the name Bombus terrestris (buff-tailed bumblebee). Its description in RNAcentral is "misc RNA ENSBTSG00005033447.1". The record is from RNAcentral. Lineage: Eukaryota; Metazoa; Arthropoda; Insecta; Hymenoptera; Apidae.
UUCCACGUUAUAUGUAGUAGUUUUACGAAUUUAAUGGCAUUAUUUAUGCGCGUCAUUCGUAUGAAUUUUUUAACCUUAAGUGGACAUUAUUAAUCGAGUUCUAAACACGUUUAACGUACUUUGUGAGGUCGGCACAGCUGGGGAGUUGCAGUUGAGAGAUGUACCAAAGGGACGAUAUUUUUCACGCGCCAUGACUUCGUAUAAAUAAACGGACGAGCGCGGAAAGGGGGAGAAAAACAGAGCCAAACAAAAAGAAGGGGGAAAUAUUUUCAUGGAAAAUUUCCAUAAGAAAAAGUGAUAUUCUCCCCUGGAUAAGAAAAAACACAAUGUUACACAAAGC